RNAcentral lists this ribosomal RNA (400 nucleotides) under Bacillus anthracis (anthrax bacterium). RNAcentral's name for it is "bacterial SSU rRNA". It matches the Rfam family "Bacterial small subunit ribosomal RNA", at positions 39 to 421 of the family's 1533-position model. Lineage: Bacteria; Bacillati; Bacillota; Bacilli; Caryophanales; Bacillaceae. The record is from RNAcentral.
GGGGACAGUGCGCGGUGCUAUACAUGCAGUCGAGCGAAUGGAUUAAGAGCUUGCUCUUAUGAAGUUAGCGGCGGACGGGUGAGUAACACGUGGGUAACCUGCCCAUAAGACUGGGAUAACUCCGGGAAACCGGGGCUAAUACCGGAUAACAUUUUGAACCGCAUGGUUCGAAAUUGAAAGGCGGCUUCGGCUGUCACUUAUGGAUGGACCCGCGUCGCAUUAGCUAGUUGGUGAGGUAACGGCUCACCAAGGCAACGAUGCGUAGCCGACCUGAGAGGGUGAUCGGCCACACUGGGACUGAGACACGGCCCAGACUCCUACGGGAGGCAGCAGUAGGGAAUCUUCCGCAAUGGACGAAAGUCUGACGGAGCAACGCCGCGUGAGUGAUGAAGGCUUUCGG